AAAAAAGAAAUACAUGUCUUUCUAUUCAAAGAUUUUUUUGUUAGAUUUAGUUUUUUUUCUUUGAGAUAUCUAUACUAUUAAAAGAGUUAUUUGUUAGAAUGGUCUUGUUGUGUACCAUAAGUAUGUGCAUACUAAAUAUUUACCUUCAUUUACACAUACUAUAAAUUAUCUCAUUUCAAGCAGUUCAUACGAUCACAUAUUUACAUAAUCUAGUAAGUACGAAAAGGACACAAAAAAAACCAAAAUAUGAAAGGUUUCUUUGGAGUUGUUAUGUUUCUGUUCUUAUUUAUUACGGUAUCUUUAGCCAGUCGCAAAAGUUUAACAAGUAUUGGAUCGAAGAGACUAGUUCCAGGAGGUCCAGACAAUGCGACAUCUCCAUCUAAUCCACCAGCUUUUUUAACUGAUAUUGAAAUAAAGAGACUAGUUCCAGGAGGUCCAGAUAAUGCGACAUCUCCAUCUAAUCCACCAGCGUUUGUAGCAAAUAUUGAAAUGAAAAGAAAAGUUCCAGGAGGUCCGAACAAUCAGACAUCUCCACCUACCCCACCAUCUUUUUAGUGAAUAUAUAUUUAAAAAGUUCAAUAAAUUAAUAAUCACAAACUUUCUGUCAAUCUAAUCUAAUAUUGGUUUAGUUAUGAUUGUUUCAAAAACAUAAAAUAAUAAUAAGUAUUUUUUUCUAUACACUAUAUUGUUCAUUUAAAAAAAACAAAAACAAAAAUGCUGAAUGUGAAAUAUAUAAUUUUGAAAAAAAUCCUAAUACCAUUUUUUAGAAAGAAUCCUAAUAGUAUUUGAUUAAUUGCUUACCUGACUUUCCGAAGAAAUAAUAAUAUUAAAAACACUGAAGUACACACCAUUAAAAACAUUUUUUCUGUGCGAAAAAGACCAUCACGUGAACAGACACAUAUAUUCAUUCAUGAUCCAUCAUUUCUCCUGGAGUGUUCCCAUCGCCGAUCAACAACAGUUUUCUUUGACCAUAAUAAAUGUUUGGCAGUUAUUGAGGAGUGGCUAAAUAUAGUCUACUUUGUGCCUUUGUUUUUCUCUUGUGAUCAAAGUGUCAACAAAUACAUUCAUCUGUUUUUGUUACUCAUGGCAGACAAAUUACAAAAAGAUGCAAGAAAUUACAUUGAGUAUCAUUGAUGAAGACAUUACUUUACUCGAGGAUUUAUGCGAAGAUGCAUCAGAGGAGAACGGCAAGGGGUGUCAAAACAGAUAAAAACUAAUGGGUCAAUCAGGACCAAUCCAAACCAUAAAUUUUAAUGGAUAGAAAAAUUAGGUACAAAUGGAUUAAUGGGUAAAUGAGUUAAUGGACUUAAAUGGUUUGGAUUGUAAUGGAUAAUGAGUUAUUCAUAACCAAAUCAAUAAAAAUCUAUAACAAACUUAAAUUCAAAUCAAAUAUAUAUAAAAAAAGUAACCAAACCAAAUUUCCAAACCAGUUUACUACACCAAAUUCUAUUUACUUUUCACAUAUACAACGAAAUUACAAUAACCUAAAUCUCACUUAGUCAUAAUUUUUUUAUGUUAAAACCCAAUUUCUCAUAUAUACGUGGGGUUUUAGAAGUUAAAUCAUAUAUUUUUGCCAAAUACAUAGAAUCAAUUUUUCUGACAAAACUAAAAAUUGAUUUUUUUCCAUCAAAAGCGCUAAAUCUCUUCUUCUUCUUUUUUUUUGUCAAAAUCGUAAAAUUAUGUUUUUCACCAAAUCCACAAAAUCAUGUAUUCCUGCAAAAACUGCAAAAUCAUGUUUUCUGUCAAAAUCGAAAAAUCGUUUUUUCUAGCCAAAACCGCAAAAUUGUGUUUUCUCGCAAAAUUGAGUUUUCCUACCAAAACCACAAAAUUGAGCUUUCCCUCCAAAAUUGCAAAAUUGUGCUUUCCCGCCAUGACCAUAAAAUCGAGUUUUCUCACCAAAAACCGCAAAUUUGUAGUUGCCAGCCAAAACCGUAAAAUUGAGUAUUUCUGCAAAAUGUUAAACUGAAUGUUCCCUCUUGCAAAAUCUAUUUUUCCUGUCAAAACAAUAAAAUAAAGCUUUCCGCCUUUUGAAAAAACAAGCUUUCCUGCCAAAACCGCAAAUGAAGUUUUUCCGCCAAUAUCGCAAAUUUAGUUUUGCUGUCAAAACUCUAAAAUUUAAGUUUCCCACCAAAACAGUAAAAUCCUGUUUUCUUGCCAUAAUUGUAAAAAAAGUUUCCGCCAAAUCUGUAAAAUUGAGUUUUCCACCAAAACAUAAAAAUCUUGUUUCCAUAAAAUUAAUUUUUCUGCCAAAACCGCAACAUUGUAUUUUUCCACCACACCUCAAAAAUCUUAUUUUCCUGACAAAACAACAAAAUUGAGUUUUCCUGCCAAAACCAUAAAUCGUGUUUUCCAUCCAAAACCGUAAAUUGUUUUUCCCCAAAAUCUGUAAAAUUGAGAUUUUCGACAAAGCCACAAAAUGGUGUUUUCUUCUAAAACCGUAAAAUUGAGUUUUCUCGCCAAGAUCACUUAAGAAAAUAAGAAAAUCUUAUUUUCCACCAAAACCUUAUAUUUAUAUUUAUUUUCAACCCUAUAAUAAUACUUUUUAAUUAAUAACUUUUAAAAUAUAAAAUUAUUUUUCAUGGAUUAACCAUUUAAACAAUUAACUCAUUAACUUAUAUGAGUUGUAGAUUGAUCCAAUCGAUUUGUCAAAUGUAUUGGUUUAAUACAUGGCCCAUAUAAUUUAAAAACCAUUUCGGUGUUUUGGUUCGGUUUACCCAUUUUGGAGCGAAUUAAACAUAUUUUACUUUUCAUAUUUUUAAACAUAUUUUCUUUACUAAACCCAUAAAAAAUUAUAAAUUCAUAUAAGAAUAAAAUAUACGUUAGACCAUAAUAAAUGUUUGGCAGUUAUUGAGGAGUGGCUAAAUAUAGUCUACUUUGUGCAUUUGUUUUUCUCUUGUGAUCAAAGUGUCAACAAAUACAUUCAUCUGUUUUUGUUACUCAUGGCAGACAAAUUACAAAAAGAUGCAAGAAAUUACAUUGAGUAUCAUUGAUGAAGACACUACUUUACUCGACGAUUUAUGCGAAGAUGCAUCAGAGGAGAACGACUAGGGUGUCAAAACAGAUAAAAACUAAUUGGUCGAUCAGGACCAAUCCAAACCAUGAAUUUUAAUGAAUAGAAAAAUUGGGUACAAAUGGAUUAAUGGGUAAAUGAGUUAAUGGACUUAAAUGGUUUGGAUUAUAAUGGAUAAUGAGUUAUUCAUAACCAAAUCAAUAAAAAUCUAUAACAAACUUAAAUUCAAAUCAAAUAUAUAUAUAUAUAUAUAUAUAUAAAAACGUAACCAAACCAAAUUUCUAAACCAGUUUACUACACCAAAUUCUAUUUACUUUUCACAUAUACAACGAAAUUACAAUAACCUAAAUCUCACUUAGUCAUAAUUUUUUAUGUCAAAACCCAAUUUCUCAUAUAUAUGUGGGGUUUUAGAAGUUAAAUCAUAUUUUUUGCCAAAUACAUAAAAUUAAUUUUUUUGACAAAACUAAAAAUUGAUUUUUUCCUUCAAAAGCGCUAAAUCUCUUCUUUUUUUUUUUGUCAAAAUCGUAAAAUUGUGUUUUUCACCAAAUCCACAAAAUCAAGUAUUCCUGCAAAACCUGCAAAAACUGCAAAAUCAUGUUUUUCUGUCAAAAUCGAAAAAUCAUUUUUUCUAGCCAAAACCGCAAAAUUGUGUUUCUCGCAUAAAUCACAAAAUUGAGUUUUCCUGCACAAACCACAAAAUUGAGCUUUUCCUCCAAAACUGCAAAAUUGUGCUUUCCCGCCAUGACCACAAAAUCAAAUUUUCCCACAUAAAAUGUAAAUUGAGUUUUCUCUCUAAAAACCGCAAAUUUGUGUUUGCCAGCCAAAACCGUAAAAUUGAAUAUUUCUGCAAAAUGUUAAACUGAAUGUUCCCUCUUAAACUGCAAAAUCUUUUUUUCCUGUCAAAACAAUAAAAUAAAGCUUUCCGCCAUUUGAAAAAACAAGUUUUCCUACCAAAACCACAAAUUAAGUUUUUCCGCCAAUAUCGCAAAUUUAGUUUUGCUGUCAAAACUCUAAAAUUUAAGUUUCCCGCCAAAACAGUAAAAUCCUGUUUUCUUGCCAUAAUUGUAAAAAAAGUUUCCGCCAAAUCUGUAAAAUUGAGUUUUCCACCAAAACAUAAAAAUCUUGUUUCCGUAAAAUUAAUUUUUCUGCCAAAACCGCAACAUUGUAUUUUUCCGCCACACCUCAAAAAUCUUAUUUUCCUGACAAAACAACAAAAUUGAGUUUUUCUUAACAAAAUUGAGUUUUCCUGCCAAAACCAUAAAUCGUGUUUUCCAUCUAAAACCGUAAAUUGUUUUUCCCCAAAAUCUGUAAAAUUGAGAUUUUCGACAAAGCCACAAAAUGGUGUUUUCUUCUAAAACCGUAAAAUUGAGUUUUCUCGCCAAGAUCACUUAAGAAAAUAAGAAAAUCUUAUUUUCCACCAAAACCUUAUAUUUGUAUUUAUUUUCAACCCUAAAAAUAAUACUUUUUACUUAAUAACUUUUAAAAUAUAAAAUUAUUGUUCAUGGAUUAACCGUUUAAACAAUUAACUCAUUAACUUAAAUGAGUUGUAGAUUGAUCCAAUCGAUUUGUCAAAUGUAUUGGUUUAAUACAUGGCCCAUAUAAUUUAAAAACCAUUUCGGUAUUUUGAUUCGGUUUACCCAUUUUGGAGCCAAUUAAUCUCAUGACUAUAUUUGGGCACAACCCAACUAGCAGUUAUGUGCAUAGUUAGAGGCUCUAAAUUAUGAGAAAUUUGUUUAUCAAUGUUUUAAGUAAUUUUUUAUGGCCUCAGUGUUGCUCGAGCACAACAAUACCAACAUUUGCGCUUAAGCCAACUGAUUCAUCCCUUGAUCUAUGCUCCACUGCCAACUGGACCACCAGUCUCCUCAUGACUUAGGUGAUGGCGCAACUUGUGUAUCUCUUGAACCAGGAGCUCAACAACCAAACGACAUGCACUUAAUUCAACCUGUUCUACACACCCUCUGCAGCUUCAUCAACAUGGUACUAGCGCACAUGCUAUGGCCUGAUUCAUAGCUUCCCAACUGAAGGUAGUUGUUCUAACUCCUUUUAGAAGCUGGUCCAUAGCUUUCCAAUCAGAAGGUAACUAUUCUAACUCCACGCAUUGGGCUGAUUCAUAGCUUUCCACUCAGCUUGACUCUUCACCUGAUAUUUUUGUCAAGUAGUCUCUGAUAUAUGGCCAUUUAUUCUAACACCAAGUUGUUGUUGUCCUUGUUGAAUUCUUCUUGCAAGCGUUUAUAGAUAGGCCAUGGAAGCUCAUUUACUUCCCCCCUUAAGCUUGGCUCAGAGUAUAGUGAAGGAAACAAGCUUGAUAUGAGUGCCACUUAUUCCUGACUUGUUAGCUUUCAGCUACAAGUCACUUCAUCGUUGACCUUGCAAUCCACGAGGAAAUCCAGCUUGGUGGGUGGCUGGUCAACUUCUGGUCUACCUCUCCGUCAAUACUCCUUGAAGCAUCUUCAAAGGCCAGCCAUAUUAUGUCUCAGCCAUGACUUAAUACCAUCUGGUCUCCUCAAAAAAAAAAAUUUCCAUGGUCAAGAAUAUACAUCACGUGUAGGCUCUAGAUCAAACAGGAAUAUACAUCAUGUAUAGGCUCUGAACAGCAUGGGCAAAGCCUUCUUCUUUGUCUUGAUUUGAUGAUGGGCAGAGAACAACACUUGUGUAUCUGAAACAUCACUCAAACUCCAGCAAGAAUCAGACCACACACACUAGGAUCAGACAUUGAUAACUCACCAAUUCUGAUCCCAAUGUUUUAAGAAAUGCAAUGGACAGAAUCUAAACAACUCAUCUAGUUCAAAUCCAUGCAACCAACUCACUAAAUGUUCCAGUAUAAUAACUCAUCAAUUAAAAUACAUUUAGGCUAUUUUUAUGAUCAUUUAAACAAUGAUAUGCUCAAAUGACAAUAUCAGAGACUAGAGAACUCAUUUAAUCACCUUAAUAUACAUUUCAACACAACCAGAACCAUUAUCCCAAGCUCAUAUCAAGAAGGAGAGGUUUAACUUAUAACCAAGGAACCUGAGCUGGUUCCUUGAACCUCCAAUACACAUGGGUCAUGACAUUUUGUUGGAUCUGAGAUCUUGAGUUGAACUCCAACUCCUUCUCUUUAAGUAUAUGAUCUACUUCUUGUAUCCAUCGCACCAAAGACUCCUCCUUUCUUCAUGUAUGAGAGGCGCCACCUUCUAGGAAGCUCUUUUCUUGGAUAGAGAAAGUGAACCACUUGGACAACGCAGUUUUGGAGCUUUGCUAGCUAGGAAAACUACUCCAUAAACGUUUGCUUACAAGUGGUUUCUUCACCAUAUUUGACAGGAGAAAAGGAGAUUGGACAGCUUUGAAGAACUAUGGACCACUGGAUAAAAGAAUGUGCUCAAGAAUCUUCAAAGAAAAUGAGUGGUAGACUAAACUGGCUGAACUUGCUGAAGGGUUCUUGAGGUUCAGAGAUUUGUAUACACCUUGUCUUGAGAGCUGGUUGUGGGUUCUUCCUUCUUGGAAACCCUUUGGACCGCUGGAAAAAGGUUGUACCAGACUCAGAUGAAGAUGAACUAAGAAUGAAUUUGCGGAAGCUUUUGUGAGGUUCAAGAGCUUAAAGCUCUGAUACGUACCAUGAAAUAAUAGACAGAGAAUGGUGUUUGAGUGUAUGUGAGAGUCUGGUUGAGAGUGAACAAGAGAAAGACUGAGAAAUAGAGAUAAGAGAAUUGGUGAAGGAGAGAGUUAAUUUUCACUUCAAAGAGUAUAAGAGAUUAUGGAGAGUUUAAGAGAGAUUGAAAGUGACCAAGAGAAUACAUAAUGGUGAAGAAGAAAGGGGAACUUGUAACGACCCGCUCCCGGAGUAUUUUAAAUUUUGAAGAAAAUAGAAUGCAAGAGGUUUUAUUCUACAAGGAGCGUAUUUUUCUAAGUGUGGAGACACUUGUAUUCGUGAAUAUUGGAAGAAUAAAUGUAUUUUUAACUAAGUGAUGGAUCUUCAAUGAGAUCAUGGAAAUAUUCAGAAUGGGUUGAGCGAUGGUAAACCGAUAAUGGAACGAUCAGAGCAUACAUACGGAGAAAUUAAGACCGCGAGACCAAUUAAAGAAUGUUCGGUUGUUGGAUAAUGCGGGUUCCAGGUAAGGAAAGUUUGACUAGCCAUAAUUGCGGGAUAAUACAAAAGGAAUUUAGGAUCUGCGGAAAUCAGCUAAGGAAAGAAUCAAUGAUAUCGGGUCGAUCAGGACCAAUCCAAACCAUGAAUUUUAAUGAAUAGAAAAAACUGGGUACAAAUGGAUUAAUGGGUAAAUGAGUUAAUGGACUUAAAUGGUUUGGAUUAUAAUGGAUAAUGAGUUAUUCAUAACCAAAUCAAUAAAAAUCUAUAACAAACUUAAAUUCAAAUCAAAUAUAUAUAUAUAUAAAAACGUAACCAAACCAAAUUUCUAAACCAGUUUACUACACCAAAUUCUAUUUACUUUUCACAUAUACAACGAAAUUACAAUAACCUAAAUCUCACUUAGUCAUAAUUUUUUUAUGUCAAAACCCAAUUUCUCAUAUAUAUGUGGGGUUUUAGAAGUUAAAUCAUAUUUUUUUGCCAAAUACAUAAAAUUAAUUUUUUUGACAAAACUAAAAAUUGAUUUUUUCCAUCAAAAGCGCUAAAUCUCUUCUUUUUUUUUGUCAGAAUCGUAAAAUUGUGUUUUUCACCAAAUCCACAAAAUCAAGUAUUCCUGCAAAAACUGCAAAAUCAUGUUUUUCUGUCAAAAUCGAAAAAUCAUUUUUUCUAGCCAAAACCGCAAAAUUGUGUUUCUCGCAAAAAUCACAAAAUUGAGUUUUCCUGCACAAACCACAAAAUUGAGCUUUCCCUCCAAAACUGCAAAAUUGUGCUUUCCCGCCAUGACAACAAAAUCGAAUUUUCCCACAUAAAAUGUAAAUUGAGUUUUCUCUCCAAAAACCGCAAAUUUGUGUUUGCCAGCCAAAACCGUAAAAUUGAGUAUUUCUGCAAAAUGUUAAACCUAAUGUUCCCUCUUAAACUGCAAAAUCAUUUUUUUCCUGUCAAAACAAUAAAAUAAAGCUUUCCGCCUUUUGAAAAAACAAGUUUUCCUACCAAAACCGCAAAUUAAGUUUUUCCGCCAAUAUCGCAAAUUUAGUUUUGCUGUCAAAACUCUAAAAUUUAAGUUUCCCGCCAAAACAGUAAAAUCCUGUUUUCUUGCCAUAAUUGUAAAGAAAGUUUCCGCCAAAUCUGUAAAAUUGAGUUUUCCACCAAAACAUAAAAAUCUUGUUUCCGUAAAAUUAAUUUUUCUGCCAAAACCGCAACAUUGUAUUUUUCCGCCACACCUCAAAAAUCUUAUUUUCCUGACAAAACAACAAAAUUGAGUUUUUCUGCCAAAACCAUAAAUCGUGUUUUCCAUCCAAAACCGUAAAUUGUUUUUCCCCAAAAUCUGUAAAAAUUGAGAUUUUCGACAAAGCCACAAAAUGGUGUUUUCUUCUAAAGCCGUAAAAUUGAGUUUUCUCGCCAAGAUCACUUAAGAAAAUAAGAAAAUCUUAUUUUCCACCAAAACCUUAUAUUUAUAUUUAUUUUCAACCCUAAAAUAAUACUUUUUAAUUAAUAACUUUUAAAAAAUAAAAUUAUUUUUCAUGGAUUAACCAUUUAAACAAUUAACUCAUUAACUUAUAUGAGUUGUAGAUUGAUCCAAUCGAUUUGUCAAAUGUAUUGGUUUAAUACAUGGCCCAUAUAAUUUAAAAACCAUUUCGGUGUUUUGGUUCGGUUUACCCAUUUUGGAGCGAAUUAAACAUAUUUUACUUUUCAUAUUUUUAAACAUAUUUUCUUUACUAAACCCAUAAAAAAUUAUAAAUUCAUAUAAGAAUAAAAUAUACGAAUCCGGCAUAUAGCACCGGAAUACCGCUAGUUAAGAAUAUGAUAGUAUAUUAUGAAUUAGUUACGUUUUUAACACUAACUAGUCAAAAAUUGAUUUGAUAACGUUAACUUCAAUUAAUGUCUAAAAAUCUAGAAAUUUUAAUGGUACAAUUCAUAAAUGACACGCCAGGUUAAAUUUUAUUCUAUAUAAUGUUUUUGUUUAAGUAGAAUAGAUUUUAUAUAUAUAUAUAUAUAUAUAUGUAUAUAAUUAUUGAUUUAAUAUUUAGAUUAGGUAUGAGUAGUAGAUCUUUUUGAAAAAGGGCUUCAACUUCCUUAUAUAUUUUUAUCUAUAUUUAUUAGAUUUGAGUUCAAAUGUACUAAAAGUGUUUUUAUCAACAAAUUUCUCUGUUCAUGCAUUUAAUCUGUUUAGAUAUUCAAUUUUAAUAUUGAUAAGGUGACAAGGAAAAAAGAAAUACAUGUCUUUCUAUUCAAAGAUUUUUUUGUUAGAUUUAGUUUUUUUUCUUUGAGAUAUCUAUACUAUUAAAAGAGUUAUAUGUUAGAAUGGUCUUGUUGUGUACCAUAAGUAUGUGCAUACUAAAUAUUUACCUUCAUUUACAGAUACUAUAAAUUAUCUCAUUUCAAGCAGUUCAUACGAUCACAUAUUUACAUAAUCUAGUAAGUACAAAAAGGACACAAAAAAACCAAAAUAUGAAAGGUUUCUUUGGAGUUGUUAUGUUUCUGUUCUUAUUUAUUACGGUAUCUUUAGCCAGUCGCAAAAGUUUAACAAGUAUUGGAUCGAAGAGACUAGUUCCAGGAGGUCCAGACAAUGCGACAUCUCCAUCUAAUCCACCAGCGUUUUUAACUGAUAUUGAAAUAAAGAGACUAGUUCCAGGAGGUCCAGAUAAUGCGACAUCUCCAUCUAAUCCACCAGCGUUUGUAGCAAAUAUUGAAAUGAAAAGAAAAGUUCCAGGAGGUCCGAGCAAUCAGACAUCUCCACCUACCCCACCAUCUUUUUAGUGGAUAUAUAUUUUAAAAGUUCAAUAAAUUAAUAAUCACAAAUUUUCUGUCAAUCUAAUCUAAUAUUGGUUUAGUUAUGAUUGUUUCAAAAAAA
This 9921-nucleotide long non-coding RNA is filed under the name Brassica napus (rape). RNAcentral's name for it is "long non-coding RNA (BNAP_LNC000746)". The record is from RNAcentral. Lineage: Eukaryota; Viridiplantae; Streptophyta; Magnoliopsida; Brassicales; Brassicaceae.